RNAcentral lists this ribosomal RNA (447 nucleotides) under uncultured bacterium. RNAcentral describes it as "partial 16S ribosomal RNA". It matches the Rfam family "Bacterial small subunit ribosomal RNA", at positions 29 to 523 of the family's 1533-position model. The record is from RNAcentral.
AACGAACGCUGGUGGCAGGCUUAACACAUGCAAGUCGAGCGCCCCGCAAGGGGAGCGGCAGACGGGUGAGUAACGCGUGGGAAUCUACCCAUCUCUACGGAAUAACGCAUGGAAACGUGUGCUAAUACCGUAUACGUCCUUCGGGAGAAAGAUUUAUCGGAGAUGGAUGAGCCCGCGUUGGAUUAGCUAGUUGGUGGGCUAAAGGCCUACCAAGGCGACGAUCCAUAGCUGGUCUGAGAGGAUGAUCGGCCACACUGGGACUGAGACACGGCCCAGACUCCUACGGGAGGCAGCAGUGGGGAAUAUUGGACAAUGGGCGCAAGCCUGAUCCAGCCAUGCCGCGUGAGUGAUGAAGGCCCUAGGGUUGUAGAGCUCUUUCACCGGUGAAGAUAAUGACGGUAACCGGAGAAGGAGCCCCGGCUAACUUCGUGCCAGCCGCCGCAGUAA